This is a long non-coding RNA of Gallus gallus (chicken), 352 nucleotides long. NCBI's taxonomy places the organism in Eukaryota, Metazoa, Chordata, Aves, Galliformes, Phasianidae. The record is from Ensembl.
AGGGGAGCUCAGCUGCAUGCAAUACACCUGAGUGGCCAGAAGGGGUAGAGCCAGGAUCCCGCCCUUCCCAGACCUCAUUUAAGGGUUGAGCAGUGGAGGGAAGGGUAUCUCACAGGAGAUCCCUGCCUACUGGAGGCCUUCCAAAGGUAAAUGAGACCCAGUUGGAUCCUACAUGCCUAAAUAGUAGCUUAUCACCACAGAGAGAUGAAUAAAGAUAGAUAUGAGAAAUCUGCCCUCAUGAAAGUCUGCUUGCUCUACUGAGAGAGAAAGGUCCUGUGUUAGUGUAUUACUGCCAGCAUCUUUCAGGAAGCAUUUGCAGCAAAUUCAGCAGUCCAGCAGAGCAGCCUCCAGG